Molecule: ribosomal RNA, 433 nt
Filed under: uncultured bacterium
Lineage: Bacteria
Description: partial 16S ribosomal RNA
Rfam family: Bacterial small subunit ribosomal RNA
Source: RNAcentral
AACGAACGCUGGCGGCAUGCCUAACACAUGCAAGUCGAACGAGACCUUCGGGUCUAGUGGCGCACGGGUGCGUAACGCGUGGGAACCUGCCCUUAGGUUCGGAAUAGCUCCCCGAAAGGGGUGCUAAUACCGGAUAAUGUCUUCGGACCAAAGAUUUAUCGCCUUUGGAUGGGCCCGCGUUGGAUUAGCUAGUUGGUAGGGUAAAAGCCUACCAAGGCGACGAUCCAUAGCUGGUCUGAGAGGAUGAUCAGCCACACUGGGACUGAGACACGGCCCAGACUCCUAUGGGAGGCAGCAGUGGGGAAUAUUGGACAAUGGGCGAAAGCCUGAUCCAGCAAUGCCGCGUGAGUGAUGAAGGCCUUAGGGUUGUAAAGCUCUUUUACCCGGGAUGAUAAUGACAGUACCGGGAGAAUAAGCUCCGGCUAACUCCGUG